RNAcentral lists this long non-coding RNA (430 nucleotides) under Rattus norvegicus (Norway rat). RNAcentral describes it as "long non-coding RNA NONRATT019644". Lineage: Eukaryota; Metazoa; Chordata; Mammalia; Rodentia; Muridae. The record is from RNAcentral.
AAGGUCACAGAGGCCACUAGAGAUUAGAAUGAUGGUUGGGAAUUUGACAUUUUCUUUGGAACGUAACGAAGAUUUUUUUUUUCAGACGUUGAUGAAUGUGCAACUGGAAACGGGAACCUUUGUAGAAAUGGCCAGUGCGUCAACACGGUGGGGUCCUUUCAGUGCAGGUGCAAUGAAGGCUACGAGGUGGCUCCAGACGGCAGGACCUGUGUGGAUAUCAAUGAAUGUGUUCUGGAUCCUGGGAAAUGUGCACCUGGAACCUGUCAGAACUUGGACGGCUCCUACAGAUGCAUUUGCCCACCUGGGUACAGUCUACAGAAUGACAAAUGUGAAGAUAUUGAUGAGUGUGUCGAAGAGCCAGAAAUCUGUGCUUUGGGGACCUGCAGCAACACUGAAGGCAGCUUCAAAUGUCUGUGUCCAGAAGGGUUCU